This 254-nucleotide ribosomal RNA is filed under the name uncultured bacterium. RNAcentral describes it as "partial 16S ribosomal RNA". It matches the Rfam family "Bacterial small subunit ribosomal RNA", at positions 524 to 776 of the family's 1533-position model. The record is from RNAcentral.
UACGUAGGGUGCGAGCGUUGUCCGGAAUUAUUGGGCGUAAAGAGCUCGUAGGCGGUCUGUCGCGUCGGUCGUGAAAACUUGGGGCUUAACCCUGAGCUUGCGGUCGAUACGGGCAUGACUGGAGUUCGGCAGGGGAGACUGGAAUUCCUGGUGUAGCGGUGAAAUGCGCAGAUAUCGGGAGGAACACCAACGGCGAAGGCAGCACUCUGGGCUGGUACUGACGCUGAGGAGCGAAAGCGUGGGUAGCAAACAGG